Molecule: unclassified non-coding RNA, 338 nt
Filed under: Hevea brasiliensis (rubber tree)
Lineage: Eukaryota; Viridiplantae; Streptophyta; Magnoliopsida; Malpighiales; Euphorbiaceae
Source: RNAcentral
GGUUAAGGGAAGCAAUCAAGAAUGGUGACGCUAUUGCUGUCAAGAAACUUUUGAGCGAGGGUGUAGAUGCAAAUUAUCAUGACAAACAAGGACUGUCUUUGCUUCAUGUGGCGGCGGUCUUUAAUCACACUGAUAUUGUUUUUGCCCUCAUUGAAAGCGGGGCUAGCCUGGACUACAAAAAUGCUCAAGGAGAGACGCCAUUGGAUUGUGCUCCGGCUUCUUUGCAAUAUAAGAUACGAGAGAAGAUGGGAGGACAAUGAACAAGGAGGAAUAGACUUCCCACAUAACCGGGGAGAUGACAUCCCAUAUUUUUCCAGUAAAUACUUCCAUAAUCUCUU